Non-coding RNA from Pogona vitticeps (central bearded dragon), 1148 nucleotides. Lineage: Eukaryota; Metazoa; Chordata; Lepidosauria; Squamata; Agamidae. The record is from RefSeq and is a predicted model, not a curated record.
CCUAUUUUACUUCCAAAAUCAGAUAUUCGGGGGGAAAAGAGACAACGAGGUUCAAUUAUUUGUUGAAUAGCAUGGGUAGCCCUGAAAAUAGCAGGGGGUGGACACCUCAAACUGAUUUUUUUGAUGUUAUACAUGACCUAUACCACACAGAUGUGAACGCUGAGGCACCUGUGAUAAAGAAAAGAGUUUUAAAAGCAAGACAUACAAUCCAGAGUUAAGCACUCAAAGCCUUCAGCUUGUUGUUGUUAUAUGCUGUCAAGUCAACUCCGACCCAUGGCAACCCUACGCUUGAGCAACCUCAAGAAUGUCCUGUCAUUCACAGCGGUUGCAAACUCAAGGCCGUGCCUUCAUUUCCUUCAACUGAGGAUCCUCCCUCUGCCUACAAAGCAAGAAGAAACAUGAACAAAGAAACAUGAACAACACAAACCUGUCUAUAUUUUGCAGAUGACUUUAAUCUGAGAUCUGAUUGGAUCUGAGUGGCAAGAAGAGAUGAGGAAUCAAGAGACCAACCUGCCUCCAUUCAAGUCUGCAAGUUUCAUACUACAGCUGGAAUCCGUCAAGGAUGAAAUAGAAACAUCUGGCAACAAUUCAGAAGGGAAAGGACAAGUGCAGGGCAUUUUUCUUUUACAAAGGUAACAAAACAUAUAGCUGUAGAAGUGGAAUGGACAAAGGAAGGAAGGGACCUAAGCUGGAAAUGUUUCUAUUUGCUUCUUGCUUAGAGGUACCUAGUCCUAGAGAAUUAUCAAAGACUGACAUCAGAAAACACACAAAGCGAAGGAGAAGAGAGCGCGAUGUCACCACAGGAGAAUGCUGAACUCUGAAGAUGUGAAUUUAAACCUCUUAACAGUUUUAAUCAUUUCUUAGUAUGAAACAGUCAACUUUAUGGCCAUGUGAAGACCUUCUGUUCUGAAUGAUAACAGCCUGACCACUGAAACGUGAAGCUUCAGAAUUUGAUUUUACAAAUCACGGCCCACAGUUUUAUUUGUAUUCCCUGAAGUUUUUUUUAAUUACCAUGAAAUCUGCUUUGGAUGCAUAUUUUAAAAACCACCUUACUGACCACAAAUUGUGAAUGGAGCAAAUUCAAGGUGGCAUAGAUGACAAAUGUCAUCUUUGUUGUGGGUUUCAAUGAGUGUGAACAUAUGAAAGAA